RNAcentral lists this ribosomal RNA (447 nucleotides) under uncultured bacterium. RNAcentral describes it as "bacterial SSU rRNA". It matches the Rfam family "Bacterial small subunit ribosomal RNA", at positions 355 to 825 of the family's 1533-position model. The record is from RNAcentral.
UGGGGAAUCUUGGACAAUGGGCGCAAGCCUGAUCCAGCCAUGCCGCGUGGAUGAUGAAGGCCUUAGGGUUGUAAAAUCCUUUCGUUGGGGACGAUAAUGACGGUACCCAAAGAAGAAGCUCCGGCUAACUUCGUGCCAGCAGCCGCGGUAAUACGAAGGGGGCUAGCGUUGUUCGGAUUUACUGGGCGUAAAGCGCGUGUAGGCGGAUUUGUAAGUUGGGGGUGAAAUCCCGAGGCUCAACCUCGGAACUGCCUCCAAAACUACAAGUCUGGACCUAAGUAGAGGCAAGUGGAAUUGCGAGUGUAGAGGUGAAAUUCGUAGAUAUUCGCAGGAACACCAGUGGCGAAGGCGACUUGCUGGACUUAUGGUGACGCUGAGACGCGAAAGCGUGGGGAGCAAACAGGAUUAGAUACCCGGGUAGUCCCUGAGCGGGCUGGCAAGGCGCAU